GAUGAACGCUGGCGGCGUGCCUAAUACAUGCAAGUCGAGCGAACGGACGAGAAGCUUGCUUUUCUGAUGUUAGCGGCGGACGGGUGAGUAACACGUGGAUAACCUACCUAUAAGACUGGGAUAACUUCGGGAAACCGGAGCUAAUACCGGAUAAUAUUUUGAACCGCAUGGUUCAAAAGUGAAAGACGGUCUUGCUGUCACUUAUAGAUGGAUCCGCGCUGCAUUAGCUAGUUGGUAAGGUAACGGCUUACCAAGGCAACGAUGCAUAGCCGACCUGAGAGGGUGAUCGUCCACACUGGAACUGAGGCACGGUCCAGACUCCUACGGGAGGCAGCAGUAGGGAAUCUUCCGCAAUGGGCGAAAGCCUGACGGAGCAACGCCGCGUGAGUGAUGAAGGUCUUCGGAUCGUAAAACUCUGUUAUUAGGGAAGAACAUAUGUGUAAGUAACUGUGCACAUCUUGACGGUACCUAAUCAGAAAGCCACGGCUAACUACGUG
Molecule: ribosomal RNA, 497 nt
Filed under: uncultured bacterium
Lineage: Bacteria
Description: partial 16S ribosomal RNA
Rfam family: Bacterial small subunit ribosomal RNA
Source: RNAcentral